GAAAUGCGAUAAGUAAUGUGAAUUGCAGAAUUCAGUGAAUCAUCGAAUCUUUGAACGCACAUUGCGCCCCCUGGUAUUCCGGGGGGCAUGCCUGUUCGAGCGUCAUUUCACCACUCAAGCCUCGCUUGGUAUUGGGCGACGCGGUCCGCCGCGCGCCUCAAAUCGACCGGCUGGGUCUUCCGUCCCCUCAGCGUUGUGGAAACUAUUCGCUAAAGGGUGCCGCGGGAGGUCACGCCGCAAAACAACCCCAUUUCUAAGGUUGACCUCGGAUCAGGUAGGUAUACCCGCUGAACUUAAGC
This 299-nucleotide unclassified non-coding RNA is filed under the name plant metagenome. Its description in RNAcentral is "partial contains 5.8S ribosomal RNA, internal transcribed spacer 2, and large subunit ribosomal RNA". The stretch from base 1 to 105 matches the Rfam family "5.8S ribosomal RNA", at positions 50 to 154 of the family's 154-position model. The record is from RNAcentral.